Molecule: regulatory RNA element, 28 nt
Organism: Flavobacterium fontis
Lineage: Bacteria; Pseudomonadati; Bacteroidota; Flavobacteriia; Flavobacteriales; Flavobacteriaceae
Rfam family: L19-Flavobacteria ribosomal protein leader
Source: Rfam
CAACCUCUGACGAGAAUCGUGAAUGUUG